CCCUCCCCUACCUCCAGGAAAAGGCUGUUCAUGCUGGGUGAGCUCUAAGUCAUGUCAGUAUAGAUAGCUUUGCAAGUGGGGUCUUCCAUGAAAUUACCAGGUUCAUUGGUAUAUGUGCAGACUUUUUCUAUAGGUAAAUUGCUUGCUGUGGGAGUUUGGUGUACAGACUUUCAUCACCCAGGGUAACAUAGCAAGAAGGUCCUCACAAGAUGUCAGCACCAUGCUCUUGGACUUCCCUACUUCUAGAACUGUGACCAAAUAAAACCCUAUUCUUUAUAAAUUACCUAGCUUUUGUUAUGCUGUUACAACAGCAGAAAAUGGAUUAAGACACCCACUCACAUAUAUUUUCUUCUUUGUCUUUUUAAUACUGUGAAACAGAAUUUUUUAGUUAAUUUAGUUAUUCUUAUAUUAGACUUUUCCAUUUAUGAAAGAAUGAGUUCUUACAAUGGACCUCUUUGAUACCAUUGACUUGAAUGUGUAAUAGGAAGAACUCUAAGGCUUCUGAAAUAAUCCAACUGUUUAUCUGCAAAACCACCUGCAGCCAGAAAGUGAGAUAACAAAAUCACUGAAGAAAUCAAAACAUGAGAGUUGAAUCACAAAACCUCACUUUAUCUUGAUGAUUUUCUAUGGAAGGUAUAUACCUCAGCACAUCGAUAAAAGGACAAUUUUGUGUACUAAAACAAAGGAGGUCAUUAUAAGGAUAUAAAAACCAAUGGUGUUAAAAGCAGCACUAAUGCUCAGCAGACUAAAACCAAGUAAUCCAGUGUAAUAAAAUGGUUAGGUUGGAGUCUUAAUAGAUUGUAAUUGUUAGGAGAAUAAAUCACAGCUAAAAUAUUUCUCUAUCUAUGAGAUAAGCAUUGGAAAUAAUUUUAAAAUUCAGAGACCUCAACACUAAAGGUAGAAAAUAUUUCCUUUCCUAUUAGAGUACUAAAAAAGAGUAACUGAAAUGAAUAUUACUAAACUAACAUUUUUUCUAUUUAAGUGUUUUGCUAUCACAAACUGAAAGAAAAAUUAACGUUUCAGAUUAUUUAGGAGAAUGAGCCAGGGAUUGCAAAUAUCUCACCUCAAAUAUCGUUUUUGUUUUUUGUUUUUUGUUUUUUUUUUUUUGAGAUGGA
This 1115-nucleotide long non-coding RNA is filed under the name Homo sapiens (human). Its description in RNAcentral is "HSALNT0147517". Lineage: Eukaryota; Metazoa; Chordata; Mammalia; Primates; Hominidae. The record is from RNAcentral.